This is a non-coding RNA of Ornithorhynchus anatinus (platypus), 138 nucleotides long. The record is from Rfam. NCBI's taxonomy places the organism in Eukaryota, Metazoa, Chordata, Mammalia, Monotremata, Ornithorhynchidae.
AUCCUCUCAGGGUCGUACCUGGAGAGAUUCCAGUAGUCUAGCAGUCUCGAUUAUGGGAGGAAGAGUCAAGCAGAGGCAAAUCCAUUCCAUUCCUAGCUUGAGCAUUGGCUAGCGAAUGGAAGGCAAUCUGCUACAAGU